CCUACGGGAGGCAGCAGUAGGGAAUCUUGCGCAAUGGGGGAAACCCUGAAGCAGCAACGCCGCGUGAGGGAUGAAGGUUUUCGGAUUGUAAACUCCUUUUGUUAGAGAAGAUCAUGACGUUGUCUAACUGAUAACCACCGGCUAACUCCGUGCCAGCAGCCGCGGUAAUACGGAGGGUGCAAGCGUUACUCGGAAUCACUGGGCGUAAAGAGCGCGGAGGCGGGAUCGCAAGUCAGAUGUGAAAGCCUAUGGCUUAACCAUAGAACUGCAUUUGAAACUGUGAUUCUAGAGUAUGGGAGAGGUAGGUGGAAUUCUUGGUGUAGGGGUAAAAUCCGUAGAGAUCAAGAGGAAUACUCAUUGCGAAGGCGACCUGCUAGAACAUAACUGACGCUGAUGCGCGAAAGCGUGGGGAGCAAACAGGAUUAGAUACCCGAGUAGUC
This 440-nucleotide ribosomal RNA is filed under the name uncultured bacterium. RNAcentral describes it as "partial 16S ribosomal RNA". It matches the Rfam family "Bacterial small subunit ribosomal RNA", at positions 338 to 795 of the family's 1533-position model. The record is from RNAcentral.